RNAcentral lists this long non-coding RNA (848 nucleotides) under Prunus persica (peach). RNAcentral describes it as "long non-coding RNA (PPER_LNC004223)". Lineage: Eukaryota; Viridiplantae; Streptophyta; Magnoliopsida; Rosales; Rosaceae. The record is from RNAcentral.
CCCCUUUUAAUAAUGUAUAUAUAUAUAUUUUUAAUGUUUAUACAAACGACAUUCUUCUUUAGUCUAAUCUAAACUCAGGAAGGGGGAAUACAUUUAUUGUUAUCAAGUUUUUUCUUAUAAAUUUUUUUUGCUAGCUGCAAUCAGGGGCAGAAGCACGUUGGGACAAGAGGGGUAGCACGACCCCUUGGAAUGCCAGAAAUUUGGCUGUGGACUCCAUGAACGACCCCUUGGACAGCAGCUGAAAGACCUCUUGUGUGCACACCAAGUGCUCGAUGAAAGUCCCAGCCUAUUUGCCUUGCUCUGCUAUGCAGCUGAGCAUCAUUUUUUUAAAAACGAGCCCUGUCAAAUGACAACUUUUGGUCCAAGGCUUAGUCAAAAAAAAUUUUAAUUGACCUGGCCUCAAAAUGACGUUGUUUUGGGCUAGAGUUAAAAAAAAAUAAUAGUAAUAAUAUCAACACUUACCCGACUCUACACAGCACCUCCAAACCCUUUUCAUUCCCAAUUUCACAUAAGCCCUCUCAAACCCUAACCUCCCAACCUCCAACAACCUCCACCACAACUCUUUGCCGGUGCCGAUCACCACCACCUUGUGCCGUCGUCCACUGCCCUUUUUUUCAAUUACAAGUGAGUAAAAUUGAUAUUUAUAAAUUUAUAGUGAUAAUAUUUAUUGUGGAUAUUGAUUUUUUUUUUUUUUAUGUAAUGAAAUUUAUGGAUAUGAUAAUGUAGAUUGAUUGAUAAUGUGGAUUGAUUAAGUAUAUUGAAUAUUGAUUGAUAUGAUAAUUUGGUAUAUUGAAUAUUGACUGUGGGUUAAUGACAUUUUUAUAUUCAUAUGAUAAUUUGGAUAAAAA